RNAcentral lists this ribosomal RNA (207 nucleotides) under uncultured bacterium. Its description in RNAcentral is "partial 16S ribosomal RNA". It matches the Rfam family "Bacterial small subunit ribosomal RNA", at positions 568 to 774 of the family's 1533-position model. The record is from RNAcentral.
CGCGUAGGCGGUUUGAUAAGUCGGAUGUGAAAUCCCCGGGCUCAACCUGGGAACUGCAUUCGAUACUGUCUGACUAGAGUACGGUAGAGGGAAGUGGAAUUUCAGGUGUAGCGGUGAAAUGCGUAGAUAUCUGAAGGAACAUCAGUGGCGAAGGCGGCUUCCUGGACCAAUACUGACGCUGAGGUGCGAAAGCGUGGGGAGCAAACA